Long non-coding RNA from Vigna radiata var. radiata (mung bean), 2256 nucleotides. RefSeq lists it as uncharacterized. Lineage: Eukaryota; Viridiplantae; Streptophyta; Magnoliopsida; Fabales; Fabaceae. The transcript is spliced from 3 exons. The record is from RefSeq and is a predicted model, not a curated record.
UAAGAGAAGGGGGUGAAAAGGGAAAAAACAGGAGUGUGCAGACAAAUUUUGCUUCUGAUAGCAGAUUGGGCCUAAGCCCAAGUGAAAAGGGGUGUGACCCAGCAAUUGGAGAGGUACAGGGAGUAACGCCCGUUAUCUUUUUGUUAUUUUUUAUCGUGGCCCAGCAAUGGCCUAGGCACCCCUCUCUCCCAAGGUCAGAAACCUUAGGGGUUCGAACCUCCUCACCCCAUUCUGCACUCCAACACCUCUGAGACUCCAAGUCUCUCUCCGCACCUACUUGCCUAGGGUUGGGGUCAUCUCCCCUGAACGCGUCAUGCCGCCGCUCCCCUCUGACAGCCACCGCGCCCAUCCGGCCAGCCUUGGCGGCGCCGGCGUUAUUGCUUCUGUCCGGCCAGCCACCGCGCCACCACUUUCUCUCUCCCUCUACGUAUCGCACAGCCAUCCACUGAGCCAACACCGCCGCGCGACCACGUUCCGCCAAGCUCUGGCCGUUAUCGGUGGCUCCGGUCACCGCAAGGAAUCCUACCGGCGUCAAGGCAACUCUCCCCUUAUUCGCCCUUUUCAUUCCGGGACAUCCUCUCCUCCAUUCAAUAUUCAAAUCGGGAUCUAGCAGUCACACCGCCGCCACUGCGCGUCCUCCGUUCAACCACAUUGCCGACCUCUGCAUCCUCCUUCCUCUCCGAAACGCGAGCUCUUUUUGACUGGGCGCGGGUUUUUCCGAUGGUGUAGGGAGUGUUGGGCUAUUGGCUUCGAUUGACGCAGUCGAAAGGUGAAAGGAACACACUGUGGUGUUCCUGUGUGAAUCUGUGUGAGUUGGGGAAUGAAGGUGACACACUGGUUGCGAUGCAGGGGUUUAUGGAGAAGAAUGGAGAUAAAUUUGGUUCUCUGUCCUUGCGUGUGUUUCUUUGUAGAUUGAAUGAAAAUGGAGACUGGUGUUGAGUGGUUGAUUCUUAUUUUGUAACUUUUUGCAGUGCAGGUUGAGGAUGAUGGUUUUAAGCGUGAAUGGAGUGGUUCUAGUGAAGACGAAGGGAAACGACAUGUAGUAGAAAUCAAGGUUGAUGGGGGGUUUGGUUGGGCCAUUUCGGCUUUGGUAAUGGAGAUAGGAAAAUGAAGAGAAUGAGGGUGUUCUGUAUGUUGUAGAGUAUGAAGAUGAGAUUAUGGAAGUAGUUGUGUUGAUGAAGAUUGGGCUGAGAUUAUUAAUAAAAGGCAAGAAAUGCGGCCGGAGGUCUCAGGUUGAAGAGGGAGGGUGAUUAUGCAUUGGUGGAUGAAAAAGGAGAGUACUCUCACAACAAUUCAAUCCCAAAUAGAACAAUAUCAUGUAUAAUAUGAAGCACAAUGCAGCAAGCUUACAUGAAGAUACAAGUGAACAAAGCAUACUUACUUCUUGAAGAGCCCUGUCAAAUGGUGAUUCAACGUAGAUUCUACAUCUUGGAACCAAGUCAAUUUUGGAGCAGCUUUGUGAUAAUGAAACCAACCAGCAAAAANCAUNAAGGCUGCAAAGACCAAUGCACCAAUUGCAGUACAAUAGAGUUGUAAUUCAUUAGUUAUUCCAGAUGCUCUCCAAAUCUGAAAAAAAUCAGAGGUUAUUUGUAUUCCUCGGAAUCUCCCUACAUCACCAUUCAAUAUUUCUUGACCCACUAUUGGCCGGUUGCCACCGUUAGCUCCUCUCUUCUUUUUACUGGCUUCGUUUUUCUUUUCCGUGGAUGUUGAAUAACUGCCACAAUAUCAAUUCCUCUCCUCUCUUGCUGGAGUGCAAGAAAGUCAUGCUGAGAGUGAGCAAUGGAAGUAGAUGAUUGGUUAAUGGUGGAGGUCAGAGGAGUCGAGAGCUCUCUUCUAAGCUGUGAUGGUGAGGUGUUCCUUCUCCCUUAAGGAGGAUGGCAAUGGAGAUUGGUCAGGUGAAUCAUGGAUCCGUUGGAGGUGAAGAAUUGGGAAUGCAAGGGAAAAUCUGGUUGGGGUGGUCACCGGUCAGAGAAGUAGUGUGUGAGUGAAUGAUAAUGGUGCUUCUGAAUCCCCUCUUCCCUUCUGUAUGAUCAGUCCGUAUCCCUUCUGACUUGGGAUUUCUUUUGUCUUUUUUUCCUUGUUAAUGGGAUCAAUCGGCGAAAACCGUUCAAAUUUCCUUUCCCUUUGAUGUAUGACACAGCUUUGCAUAGAGACUUUUUAGCAAGAGCAGCAAAGACGCUUUUUUACUGCCAUUGUAUGAGAUAUUUUGAGCAUUACUGUGUAAAUGUUGCAGGAGGGACAAGCCUCUAAUGUUAA